AGAAUCAACGCUGGCGGCGUGCCUAACACAUGCAAGUCGAACGAGAAAGUAGGGAGCAAUCCAUGAGUAAAGUGGCGGCACGGGUGAGUAACACGUGACUAACCUACCCUUGGAGUGGGGAAUAACUGAGAGAAACCUUAAGCUAAUACCGCAUAAUACCUACGGGGUCAAAGGAGCAAUUCGCUUAAGGAGGGGGUCGCGGCCGAUUAGUUAGUUGGCGGGGUAAUGGCCCACCAAGACGACUGAGUCGGUA
RNAcentral lists this ribosomal RNA (253 nucleotides) under uncultured bacterium. RNAcentral's name for it is "partial small subunit ribosomal RNA". It matches the Rfam family "Bacterial small subunit ribosomal RNA", at positions 26 to 285 of the family's 1533-position model. The record is from RNAcentral.